AUACGGAGGAUCCGAGCGUUAUCCGGAUUUAUUGGGUUUAAAGGGUGCGCAGGCGGCCAUUUAAGUCAGCGGUUAAAUCGUGGGGCUCAACCCCAUUCUGCCGUUGAUACUGGGUGGCUUGAUUGCGGUCGAGGUUGGCGGAAUUCGUUGUGUAGCGGUGCAAUGCAUAGAUAUGACGAAGAACACCGAUUGCGUAGGCAGCUGACCAGACCGCAAAUGACGCUCAUGCACGAAAGUGCGGGGAUCGAACAGGAUUAGAUACCCUGGUAGUCCGCACAGUAAACGAUGAAUACUUGUUUUCGGCGAUAUAAUGUCGGAGGCAAAGCGAAAGCGAUAAGUAUUCCACCUGGGGAGUACGCCGGCAACGGUGAAACUCAAAGGAAUUGACGGGG
Molecule: ribosomal RNA, 392 nt
Filed under: uncultured bacterium
Lineage: Bacteria
Description: partial 16S ribosomal RNA
Rfam family: Bacterial small subunit ribosomal RNA
Source: RNAcentral